UACAAAACUUGCCUCAUUCUUCACCACAAAGCCCACAAAAAACACCAAUAACUGUUGAAAAAGUAACCAAAAACCUCAGUAGAACCCUCAACUUUCUCUCCAUCAGCCAUGGCUACCUUUGCAGCGGCAAGGUCUAUCCUCCGCUCCUCCGCCACCGCUCGAUCCGCCGCACCACGUUUCUCCGCCGCACCUAAAACCAAAUCAAACCCAUCUUUUAACUCCACUUUUCACCUUCCUAAACAAAACCCUCUUUCUGCUCCUCGCAUUUUCAGGUCACCUGUUGAGUUGAGCUGCUGUGUUGAAUCUUUGAUGCCGUAUCAUACGGCUACUGCCUCUGCAUUGCUUACUUCUAUGCUUUCCGGGGCGCCUCGCCGCUUCGGUUGGACUCCUGAAGGGAAAGACCAGACUAGAUGAAGAGCCAGCUAUCAGAGACAUAAAGAGUUGGAUUUUGGGUUGAACUUUUUAAGUUUGGUGCUUUUUAAGUAGGCCCUGAUCACCUCCCUUGGCUUGUUACUGGAUGUUUAUCUUGUCAAUCUGAUUGCUGAUGGAUGAUUUUUGUGUUGGGAUGGCGGUGAAUUGGCCAUAAUUUCUUUGGAUUGUGAAUUGGACUUUGUAUACCAGCUACUUGAGGUACUUCUCUUCGGUGAAGGUCGCCGAAGUUCAAGUUAUUUAGUGGGUUAACUCCAUCUGUUCUGUCUGUUCACUAAGAACUUGUAUUCAUGUCAGGUUGAAUGAAAAUUUAGCAGAAUACGUUUUGCUUGUUCGUUUUGAUUCAAUUAUAUGUCAAUGUAUGUUUUAGCUGAGGCCUGAGGCAUAGACAUUCUGCAUUCCAUUGAUGAAUACAACAUAGGACAAUAUAUAAAAUUCUUUUUUGGUUGUCCUUGAA
This is an RNA transcript of Beta vulgaris subsp. vulgaris (sugar beet), 886 nucleotides long. It is a transcript of the gene named protein NUCLEAR FUSION DEFECTIVE 6, mitochondrial, with no coding region annotated. The transcript has 5 exons. Lineage: Eukaryota; Viridiplantae; Streptophyta; Magnoliopsida; Caryophyllales; Amaranthaceae. The record is from RefSeq and is a predicted model, not a curated record.